CAUCAUCUUCUCUCACUAUUUUAUCUUUUUAGACUUCAUCUUCUCCACCAUAUAACUUUUUUUUCCACUAAAACUUCAGGUAAAGCUCAAUGUCAUCUCUCGUUGCAAAUAAACAUCAACUUCCUCUUUUCUUUUUUCUCGUUUGUGUUUGUCAUGGGUGCCUUCCAAGUAUUUUCAAAGUUGCCUGCCAAAAAAACCAUAAAAAUACCGAACAUUUUCUACUACUAAGAUAUAUCUCAGGCACCCCCUCGGUAACACGUAAAUCCACCCCUGAACAACAGCCACGUAUCUUUCUUUUCUGUCGCGUGUAACACAAACCCUUAAGAAGCCCCAAACAAGAACACAUAAACCCUCGCACACAAUCCAAUCAGUUUAUGUGUAGAUUACAACAUAUGUUUUUGACUGUUUUGGUCAAAUUUGACCCUAAUAUUUUCUAAAUUUACAUUUUUAGUUUAUUUAUUGUACAUAUAGCUUGGUUAGUUGUACAUUGAAUGUAUUAAAUAGUUUCAGUGCUUCGUUAUGUUGUAAUUGUACCACAUUAUAUGGUACAUCUACCGAAGCGAUCUGAAAUGAGCUUACCCCCUUGUACCGAAUUUUAGGGACCUGGCGAAUUGCGAUCCCGUUCCACGUUCCCGUGCCGAAGCGUACCGCGAACUAUGUGAGUAUGGAUCUCAUACUAGGAGCGUACCGAAUUUUAGGGACCUAGCGAAUUAUCUGUUAUAAUAAUCUUUCUUUCCCUAGAAAAUUAGAUGGACUAAAAAAAGCUAAAGAAAAGGCAGAGAAGGAGGUUGCUACAUUUUUGGAUGUUGUUAUGCCAUACUUUUGUUUUAUUCAUUUGGUACUUUUUCCUUCUGUUAAGAAGCUUACUUUUUAGCAUGUUCGUCUUUUCAAUCAUUUAACUUUGUGUUGGCAAGACCAGUUUUUAUAUGGGGAUAUCUGUGAUGAUGGUGAAUGGUGAUACCAAUAUAUGAUUUAAGCAAAUUAGAUAUUUAAUUUUGGUACAAUACUUUGAAUUAAGCACUCUUUUCUAAUGUCUAAUAAGUUUUCAUAUCUGUUUAUUGAUCAAGUUCUUAAGGAUUAAUUUUUAUGUUUGUUGAUGUAUAUUUUUUUGCCACAAUGUGGCGCUAUCCAAUGAGAAACAAGGGAUAAUGGCUGAUGACUCACAACCCCCCCCCCCCCCCAUUUGUUGUUAGAUGGUUAAAGUAGCAGGGAUUGAGCCGAUUAAAUAAUUGAACUACGGGAAGUGCAAAAUCCAACCAGGAAUGUGACACUAGGCAGAUUGACAAGAAGCACCAAUAGUUUACAAUAGGUUCACCAAGUCUCUUUCUUCUUCAACCUUUUCUUUUUACCAUUUCACUCUUAUGAAGAUGGAUCUGGUGUCUCAAUGCCUACCAGGACCAUGAAGAUUAAAAGAAGG
Molecule: long non-coding RNA, 1417 nt
Organism: Helianthus annuus (common sunflower)
Lineage: Eukaryota; Viridiplantae; Streptophyta; Magnoliopsida; Asterales; Asteraceae
Exons: 2
Source: RefSeq, a predicted model, not a curated record